AUACGGAGGGUGCGAGCGUUAAUCGGAAUUACUGGGCGUAAAGGGUGCGUAGGCGGCUUGAUAAGUCGGAUGUGAAAGCCCCGGGCUUAACCUGGGAAUUGCAUUCGAUACUGUCAGGCUAGAGUAUGUCAGAGGUUGGCGGAAUUCUUAAUGUAGCGGUGAAAUGCGUAGAUAUCAGGAGGAACACCAGUGGCGAAGGCGGCUAACUGGGGCAAUACUGACGCUGAGGCACGAAAGCGUGGGGAGCAAACAGGAUUAGAAACCCUAGUAGUCC
RNAcentral lists this ribosomal RNA (274 nucleotides) under uncultured bacterium. RNAcentral describes it as "partial 16S ribosomal RNA". It matches the Rfam family "Bacterial small subunit ribosomal RNA", at positions 523 to 796 of the family's 1533-position model. The record is from RNAcentral.